RNAcentral lists this ribosomal RNA (759 nucleotides) under uncultured Enterobacteriaceae bacterium. RNAcentral's name for it is "bacterial SSU rRNA". It matches the Rfam family "Bacterial small subunit ribosomal RNA", at positions 28 to 776 of the family's 1533-position model. Lineage: Bacteria; Pseudomonadati; Pseudomonadota; Gammaproteobacteria; Enterobacterales; Enterobacteriaceae. The record is from RNAcentral.
AUUGAACGCUGGCGGCAGGCCUAACACAUGCAAGUCGAGCGGCAGCGGAAAGUAGCUUGCUACUUUGCCGGCGAGCGGCGGACGGGUGAGUAAUGUCUGGGAAACUGCCUGAUGGAGGGGGAUAACUACUGGAAACGGUAGCUAAUACCGCAUGACCUCGAAAGAGCAAAGUGGGGGAUCUUCGGACCUCACGCCAUCGGAUGUGCCCAGAUGGGAUUAGCUAGUAGGUGAGGUAAUGGCUCACCUAGGCGACGAUCCCUAGCUGGUCUGAGAGGAUGACCAGCCACACUGGAACUGAGACACGGUCCAGACUCCUACGGGAGGCAGCAGUGGGGAAUAUUGCACAAUGGGCGCAAGCCUGAUGCAGCCAUGCCGCGUGUGUGAAGAAGGCCUUAGGGUUGUAAAGCACUUUCAGCGAGGAGGAAGGCACCAUACUUAAUACGUGUGGUGAUUGACGUUACUCGCGGAAGAAGCACCGGCUAACUCCGUGCCAGCAGCCGCGGUAAUACGGAGGGUGCAAGCGUUAAUCGGAAUUACUGGGCGUAAAGCGCACGCAGGCGGUUUGUUAAGUCAGAUGUGAAAUCCCCGCGCUUAACGUGGGAACUGCAUUUGAAACUGGCAAGCUAGAGUCUUGUAGAGGGGGGUAGAAUUCCAGGUGUAGCGGUGAAAUGCGUAGAGAUCUGGAGGAAUACCGGUGGCGAAGGCGGCCCCCUGGACAAAGACUGACGCUCAGGUGCGAAAGCGUGGGGAGCAAACAGG